This 448-nucleotide ribosomal RNA is filed under the name uncultured bacterium. RNAcentral describes it as "bacterial SSU rRNA". It matches the Rfam family "Bacterial small subunit ribosomal RNA", at positions 29 to 524 of the family's 1533-position model. The record is from RNAcentral.
AACGAACGCUGGCGGCAGGCCUAACACAUGCAAGUCGAGCGCCCCGCAAGGGGAGCGGCGGACGGGUGAGUAACGCGUGGGAACGUGCCUCUUGCUACGGAAUAGCCUCGGGAAACUGGGAGUAAUACCGUAUGUGCCCUACGGGGGAAAGAUUUAUCGGCAAGAGAUCGGCCCGCGUUGGAUUAGGUAGUUGGUGGGGUAAUGGCCUACCAAGCCGACGAUCCAUAGCUGGUUUGAGAGGAUGAUCAGCCACACUGGGACUGAGACACGGCCCAGACUCCUACGGGAGGCAGCAGUGGGGAAUAUUGGACAAUGGGCGAAAGCCUGAUCCAGCAAUGCCGCGUGAGUGAUGAAGGCCUUAGGGUUGUAAAGCUCUUUUACCAGGGAUGAUAAUGACAGUACCUGGAGAAUAAGCUCCGGCUAACUCCGUGCCAGCAGCCGCGGUAAU